GGGGGACGGAGAAGGCUAUGUUGGCCGGGCGACGGUUGUCCCGGUUUAAGCGUGUAGGUGUGUGUUCCAGGUAAAUCCGGUUCACUUUAACACUGAGGCGUGAUGACGAGGCACUACGGUGCUGAAGCAACAAAUGCCCUGCUUCCAGGAAAAGCCUCUAAGCAUCAGGUAACAUCAAAUCGUACCCCAAACCGACACAGGUGGUCAGGUAGAGAAUACCAAGGCGCUUGAGAGAACUCGGGUGAAGGAACUAGGCAAAAUGGUGCCGUAACUUCGGGAGAAGGCACGCUGACACGUAGGUGAAGUGAUUUACUCAUGGAGCUGAAGUCAGUCGAAGAUACCAGCUGGCUGCAACUGUUUAUUAAAAACACAGCACUGUGCAAACACGAAAGUGGACGUAUACGGUGUGACGCCUGCCCGGUGCCGGAAGGUUAAUUGAUGGGGUCAGCGCAAGCGAAGCUCCUGAUCGAAGCCCCGGUAAACGGCGGCCGUAACUAUAACGGUCCUAAGGUAGCGAAAUUCCUUGUCGGGUAAGUUCCGACCUGCACGAAUGGCGUAAUGAUGGCCAGGCUGUCUCCACCCGAGACUCAGUGAAAUUGAACUCGCUGUGAAGAUGCAGUGUACCCGCGGCAAGACGGAAAGACCCCGUGAACCUUUACUAUAGCUUGACACUGAACAUUGAGCCUUGAUGUGUAGGAUAGGUGGGAGGCUUUGAAGUGUGGACGCCAGUCUGCAUGGAGCCGACCUUGAAAUACCACCCUUUAAUGUUUGAUGUUCUAACGUGGACCCGUAAUCCGGGUUGCGGACAGUGUCUGGUGGGUAGUUUGACUGGGGCGGUCUCCUCCUAAAGAGUAACGGAGGAGCACGAAGGUUGGCUAAUCCUGGUCGGACAUCAGGAGGUUAGUGCAAUGGCAUAAGCCAGCUUGACUGCGAGCGUGACGGCGCGAGCAGGUGCGAAAGCAGGUCAUAGUGAUCCGGUGGUUCUGAAUGGAAGGGCCAUCGCUCAACGGAUAAAAGGUACUCCGGGGAUAACAGGCUGAUACCGCCCAAGAGUUCAUAUCGACGGCGGUGUUUGGCACCUCGAUGUCGGCUCAUCACAUCCUGGGGCUGAAGUAGGUCCCAAGGGUAUGGCUGUUCGCCAUUUAAAGUGGUACGCGAGCUGGGUUUAGAACGUCGUGAGACAGUUCGGUCCCUAUCUGCCGUGGGCGCUGGAGAACUGAGGGGGGCUGCUCCUAGUACGAGAGGACCGGAGUGGACGCAUCACUGGUGUUCGGGUUGUCAUGCCAAUGGCACUGCCCGGUAGCUAAAUGCGGAAGAGAUAAGUGCUGAAAGCAUCUAAGCACGAAACUUGCCCCGA
Molecule: ribosomal RNA, 1357 nt
Filed under: Salmonella enterica
Lineage: Bacteria; Pseudomonadati; Pseudomonadota; Gammaproteobacteria; Enterobacterales; Enterobacteriaceae
Description: partial 23S ribosomal RNA
Rfam family: Bacterial large subunit ribosomal RNA
Source: RNAcentral